ACUACUAGUAGUAUGAGUAUUACUAGUUUUACAUACUACUAUUAGUAGUAUUAGUACUAGUACUAGAAGUUCUAAUUCUACUAGUAGUAC
Molecule: transfer RNA, 90 nt
Filed under: Amborella trichopoda
Lineage: Eukaryota; Viridiplantae; Streptophyta; Magnoliopsida; Amborellales; Amborellaceae
Description: tRNA AMTR_s00196t00274030
Source: RNAcentral